Molecule: long non-coding RNA, 317 nt
Filed under: Elaeis guineensis (African oil palm)
Lineage: Eukaryota; Viridiplantae; Streptophyta; Magnoliopsida; Arecales; Arecaceae
Description: long non-coding RNA (EGUI_LNC047067)
Source: RNAcentral
GGGUGGUUAGGUUGGCUGACCAAAAUCAGACCAAUUAUUUGUUGGUUAGAUGGGCUGAGCAUAGUCAUGUUAAUGGUUGGACCUAAUCAGGACUUGCAGAGAUAGCCAAAGCCAACUAAAAAAAAGUUUGAGAUAAAAUUAAUUACUAGAAGUUGUUUGAAGAAAUAAUUAGUUAAGAACCUACCCAUAAAUGCACAUGGAUUGACCGACCAUAGUCAGGCUCAUGUAUAGUUUGUGUAUAUUCUAGUACCCACUAAGAAAUUAAGGUAAUUUCUCGAAUUAGAGGUAGAAGCUACCAAUUCGAAUAAAAUAGUGGA